RNAcentral lists this ribosomal RNA (486 nucleotides) under uncultured bacterium. RNAcentral's name for it is "partial 16S ribosomal RNA". It matches the Rfam family "Bacterial small subunit ribosomal RNA", at positions 28 to 507 of the family's 1533-position model. The record is from RNAcentral.
GAUGAACGCUGGCGGCGUGCCUAAUACAUGCAAGUCGAACGCUGGAGAUCUAGCUUGCUAGAUCGAAGGAGUGGCGAACGGGUGAGUAAUACAUAAGCAACCUACCCACGAAGACUGGGAUAAUCUCUGGAAACGGGGACUAAUACCGGAUAGGUAAUCGGAAGGCAUCUUCUGGUUAUUAAAGGUUAAAAACACUGGUGGAUGGGCUUAUGGCGCAUUAGUUAGUUGGUGAGGUAACGGCCCACCAGGACGAUGAUGCGUAGCCGGCCUGAGAGGGUGAACGGCCACAUUGGGACUGGGACACGGACCAGACGCCUACGGGAGGCAGCAGUAGGGAAUUUUCGGCAAUGGGGGCAACCCUGACCGAGCAACGCCGAGUGAGUGAAGACGGCCUUCGGGUUGUAAAGCUCUGUUGUAAGGGAAGAACGGUAGAUAGAGAAUAUCUAAGUGACGGUACCUUAACAGAAAGCCACGGCUAACUACGUG